This 207-nucleotide ribosomal RNA is filed under the name uncultured bacterium. RNAcentral's name for it is "partial 16S ribosomal RNA". It matches the Rfam family "Bacterial small subunit ribosomal RNA", at positions 568 to 774 of the family's 1533-position model. The record is from RNAcentral.
AGCGCAGGCGGGAAGACAAGUUGGAAGUGAAAACCAUGGGCUCAACCCAUGAAUUGCUUUCAAAACUGUUUUUCUUGAGUAGUGCAGAGGUAGAUGGAAUUCCCGGUAUAGCGGUGGAAUGCGUAGAUAUCGGGAGGAACACCAGUGGCGAAGGCGGUCUACUGGGCACCAACUGACGCUGAGGCUCGAAAGCAUGGGUAGCAAACA